UUCUUUGUUUCGCUUAAUGGAGCGACAAGUUGUCGAUCCAACGGGGGAACCAACUUCUGUUCCGCAAAUGCGGAGUGGAUCGGGGCCAACGAUGCGCGGCAUCGAGAGCAUUUAGUGGCUCUAGCCCGACAGCUAACCUCGUCAGCAUCAUUAAAGGCAAGA
RNAcentral lists this small RNA (162 nucleotides) under Verrucomicrobiota bacterium. Its description in RNAcentral is "Verrucomicrobia bacterium c-di-AMP sequence". It matches the Rfam family "c-di-AMP riboswitch aptamer (ydaO/yuaA leader)". From Rfam's summary of the family: This family represents a conserved RNA structure found upstream of the ydaO and yuaA genes in Bacillus subtilis and related genes in other bacteria. The ydaO/yuaA element is thought to act as a genetic "off" switch for the ydaO and yuaA genes in its native state. Lineage: Bacteria; Pseudomonadati; Verrucomicrobiota. The record is from RNAcentral.